UGGGGAAUAUUGGACAAUGGAGGAAACUCUGAUCCAGCAAUUCUGUGUGUGUGAAGAAGGUUUUAGGACUGUAAAACACUUUUAGUAGGGAAGAAAAAAAUGACGGUACCUACAGAAGAAGCAACGGCUAAAUACGUGCCAGCAGCCGCGGUAAUACGUAUGUUGCGAGCGUUAUCCGGAAUUAUUGGGCUUAAAGGGCAUCUAGGCGGUAAGACAAGUUGAAGGUGAAAACCUGUGGCUCAACCAUAGGCUUGCCUACAAAACUGUUGAACUAGAGUACUGGAAAGGUGGGUGGAACUACGCGAGUAGAGGUGAAAUUCGUAGAUAUGUGUAGGAAUGCCGAUGAUGAAGAUAACUCACUGGACAGAAACUGACGCUGAAGUGCGAAAGCUAGGGGAGCAAACAGG
This 407-nucleotide ribosomal RNA is filed under the name Verrucomicrobiota bacterium. RNAcentral's name for it is "Verrucomicrobia bacterium partial 16S ribosomal RNA". It matches the Rfam family "Bacterial small subunit ribosomal RNA", at positions 355 to 776 of the family's 1533-position model. The record is from RNAcentral. Lineage: Bacteria; Pseudomonadati; Verrucomicrobiota.